UAUAAACCUGCCCUGAACAAUG
RNAcentral lists this non-coding RNA (22 nucleotides) under Rattus norvegicus (Norway rat). The record is from RNAcentral. Lineage: Eukaryota; Metazoa; Chordata; Mammalia; Rodentia; Muridae.